AGGGAGGGAGGGAGAGAGAGAGAGAGAGAGAGAGAGAGAGAGAGAGAGAGAGAGAGAGAGAGAGAGAAAGAAUCUAACUUGUAUUUUUUGUGUGUAGAUGUAAAUAGUGUUUGAAUGUAGUAUGUUUGAGCGUGCACAUGCGAGUAUACAUAUAUGUAUACAUGUGUGUCCAUUUCUGUAUACUUGUGUUUUCAUUUUUAAAACCUCAAUAAAAAUUAUUUUAUAAAUCAUCUCAAAUACAAAUUUUUGAAAGAAGACUAUGAAAACUAAAGUUAAAUCUUAACACAUUAAUUAAUUGUGAUUGCAUGCAGGAGUAGAAGAAUAAUUUUUCAAAGUAAGUUUUCUUAUAAUUAUGUCAUGUUUUACUUAUUCCCCUGGAUCUGCAAGUUUUCCUAAGAAUUCUGAUUAAUAAGCCUCACAGAUGACUUUUGAACAGUUUUAGGCUCAAUUAUAAGAAUAGAUCAUCCACCCAGUUUAAAAUUUGCCUAUUUAGAACAGACAAUAAAAUAAUAUAUAUACUUAUUACAUUCACUUAGAAAUCUUUUUCUGGAAACAAUGUACAUAUCUACAUUGAAAUAAAUGGAAAGAUUAAUCGCUCACAAUUUUCCCUUCAAGUAUAUAAAUAGAACUUGAUUUCCUGCUUGCAGAGAAGGUGAGUGUCAAAAUGAGAGCUGCACAGAAGGCUGAGAGUGAUGAGGAGCUUCUGUCAGCCCUUGUCAGAACGAAAAACCUCUCUUGGCUCUUUCAAAGUUCUGCAUAUCUGAGAGUCCUGGUUGCAGACAACAGUAACCACUGAACAUACUGUCCGGGGCGGGGAUUAGUUUAUCAAGAAAUAUAACUGUUCAACUGACAGAAAACUGAAUUAAGCUGACCUUGAAAUAUGGUCUUCCCAAACUAUCAGGUAUGACUGUAUCAUGGUGGGUGCUGAACAGCAAGCUAUUCAAAUGAGUGUUACACUACCUCUGACACACACUACAACAGCUAGAUGGCAGGCCACCCUAUAUUUUUACCAUGCCCCCAAGCUCAAAUCAAUGGUGGAAUUCUCAUCUGAUUGGUAUAAAAGAAGCCACAAAUGUAGGGGCAUCUCAAAAAAUACAGCUUUUUCUCUAUAACCUCUGCUCCAAGAAAGACAUGCCAGUUAUAUAUUCCCCCAAAAAUAGUAAAGAUGAGGAAAUAUUUCUAGUUUUGGAAGUAGAUAUAGAGUUUCUACAGAAAAUACAGUAAAAUUCCAAUGCCAGGUCACAGUUACAUACUUUAAAAUUCAUCAAAAAUUUGUUAUCUAUUUUAAGUUUAAAAUGUUAGAAAAUUAGUACAUAUAUGAGCCUAAAAUAGGGUUUCUUUCCUUGAUUUAACUUUCCUAAAGUUUAUAGUAAUAAUGUGUAUAUUUUAUAAAAUGUUACUACUUUUAAAAUAAUAUACUACGAUAACUUGAAAGUUAAAAUCAUUAUAGUGUGCUUACAAGUAAUAUGGACUGAAUUUAACAAAUUAAUAACGUAAGUAGCUUAAGAAGUUAAAUUUUAUUGAUUAUUUAAGUAGUCAACCAUCUCUUAUGUGGAAAGGGAAAGGUACUAGUCAUGGCCAAUUAUCAGGAUGCUAGUAAUAAAACGGUUACUUGACAGGUUUUUUAUGUAGCAACCAACUUAGAGCACUAUGUGAAAAGGGAAGAAAGAAAGGAUUUUGAAUUUACUCUCUAUCUCUAUCUCUCUUUGUGUCUCUGUAUGUAUAUGUCUGCGUGUACCUAGUGUGUACCAUUCUCCUUUCCUCCUUCUUAUCCUUUACUUCCCCAUCUUCCUGCUUUUCUUCAUUAAUCUAAUUAUAUUACAAGUGUUAUUGUUAUUAUUCAUCUGAGCAGAAUGUACAAGUCACACUUUUUUAAUAUUUUCUAUUAAGUAUUUUCCUCAUUUACAUUUUCAAUGCUAUCCCAAAAGUCGCCCAUACCCUCCCCCCCACUCCCCUACCCACCCACUCCCCCUUUUUGGCCCUGGCGUUGCCCUGUACUGGGGCAUAUAAAGUUUGCAAGUCCAAUGGGCCUCUCUUUCCAGUGAUGGCCGACUAGGCCAUCUUUUGAUACAUAUGCAGCUAGAGUCAAGAGCUCCGGGGUACUGGUUAGUUCAUAAUGUUGUUGCACCUACAGGGUUGCAGAUGUCUUUAGCUCCUUGGGUACUUUCUCUAGCUCCUCCAUUGGGGGCCCUGUAAGCAGAAAAGGAACUAGCCAAUGGCUAACAGCUGGAGCUGUGUUUCAAGAAUUUGUAGGACUGAAGUCACCAACUUUGUAUUGUCUUCAAGUGUACUGUUGCCUUUCCUGAAGGAGACAGCUUAGGGCAGAAGACAUGUUGGGUAAUAAGAACUUGAGAAGACUAGGAAGCAGAAGGAAUGAUGGAGAAUGACUAUAACAUUCUCUUGUAGGAAGGGGUGAGUAUGAAAGUGUACAUCUGUUUUCUGUUUUCCUUCUGAGAGGAGGGGAAAAAUUGCAGUCUGGGAAUGUCUGAACUAUGAAGUGCAAAGAGAGACUGGAACUGAUGGAAUGGAGAGUUUGGGUGAAGCCAUGAAAAGCUCCUGUGUGGCAAAGAGAGCAAUAUUUGCUCUGUCUCCAAGGGAUAAGGAAAUAAAAACAGAGGUAAGACUCAAAUGUCAGCCUUUGAUAAAGCUGAGACAUUGAAUACUAAGUACCAAAGUUUUUCUCAUUAUUAUACCAUGUUGUAGGAAAGUGCAUAAAUCAAAUGGAGUACACACCACUUUGC
Molecule: long non-coding RNA, 2741 nt
Filed under: Mus musculus (house mouse)
Lineage: Eukaryota; Metazoa; Chordata; Mammalia; Rodentia; Muridae
Description: long non-coding RNA chr6:45803620-45806361
Source: RNAcentral